RNAcentral lists this ribosomal RNA (460 nucleotides) under uncultured bacterium. RNAcentral's name for it is "SSU rRNA". It matches the Rfam family "Bacterial small subunit ribosomal RNA", at positions 26 to 518 of the family's 1533-position model. The record is from RNAcentral.
AGAGUGAACGCUGGCGGCAGGCCUAACACAUGCAAGUCGAACGAGAAAGGGGAGCAAUCCCUGAGUACAGUGGCGACCGGGUGAGUAACACGUGACUAACCUACCCUCGAGUGUGGAAUAACAUCGGGAAACCGAUGCUAAUACCGCAUAACAUCGCAAGAUCAAAGGAGUAAUCCGCUUGAGGAGGGGGUCGCGGCUGAUUAGCUAGUUGGCGGGGUAAUGGCCCACCAAGGCGAAGAUCGGUAUCCGGCCUGAGAGGGCGCACGGACACACUGGAACUGAAACACGGUCCAGACUCCUACGGGAGGCAGCAGUGGGGAAUUUUGCGCAAUGGGGGAAACCCUGACGCAGCAACGCCGCGUGGAGGAUGAAGCCCCUUGGGGCGUAAACUCCUUUCGACCAAGACGAUAAUGACGGUACUGGUGGAAGAAGCACCGGCUAACUCUGCGCCAGCAGCCGC